UGAGGAUCUGCAAGGAGUUUGGACAUCACAUCCAUCCUCUGAUGGGGAGGGAUAGAAUUGAACUCAGAAGUGGUCCCCGAUUCCAAUUGUAUUUGUGUAUUGGAUCCAGAGCAGAAAAAAACCUGCCUCUUAGUCACACCAACAACUGUGAAAUAAACAAGGAUGCCAGAAAUGGCCUCUAAUCCUGCAGGUUGAACCGCAGACGGAGCUGAGUUUUAGCUGUUAUGCAGGCGCCCCUUGGGUUUGUCCAUCAGCCAGUCCCCCCUCCUCCCCUCUGCAAUCUGCGUAGAGGAGCUGCGGCUGCUGCUGAGUGCAAGGCAGGAGUGAAGCGCCAAGCCUAGCCGCUUUCUGCAGCCUGGCCGGAGGAGGAGGGAGGAGUGAAAUGUGACUGAAAAAGGCUGCCCUGAGUCACUGCAAACAUGUGCUGGUUGCAUCGCUCUCAACGCGUGAAAUCUUCUCAACAAGGAUCCAAGCUCAUUUGGACCAGCUAAAGGAGCCACAGCAAGAACCAGAAGUGCUGAAGCCAGGAACCCAAUCUCAGAACAGUUGGGUCACUUUAGUAAAAUGGAGGCCUAAGGCCUGUCACUAAGAAGGGUACACUCCUAUACCACAGAUCUUCAUACAGUUCUGGCACACCCUGUGGAUCUUGACACCCGCUGACAGGCAUUAAAAAACAGGAGCAUCUCCUAUCAGUGAAGUUCUAUUGUUCCCUGACAGGUACGUUUAAGGCCCAGAAUUUUCAGCUCUCCCAACUGAAGAUUCAG
Dermochelys coriacea (leatherback sea turtle) is the source of this 764-nucleotide long non-coding RNA. RefSeq lists it as uncharacterized. The record is from RefSeq and is a predicted model, not a curated record. NCBI's taxonomy places the organism in Eukaryota, Metazoa, Chordata, Testudines, Dermochelyidae. The transcript is spliced from 3 exons.